RNAcentral lists this non-coding RNA (148 nucleotides) under Nomascus leucogenys (northern white-cheeked gibbon). The record is from Rfam by way of RNAcentral. Lineage: Eukaryota; Metazoa; Chordata; Mammalia; Primates; Hylobatidae.
GCCAGGCAUGGUGGUGCAUGCCUGUAGUCCCAGCUACUUGGGAGGCUGAGGCAGGAGAAUUGCUUGAACCUGGGAGAUGGACGUUGCAGUGAGCUGAGAUCACACAACAGCACUCCAGCCUGGGUGACAGAGUGAGAUCCUGUUUCAA